UGGGGAAUAUUGCACAAUGGGGGAAACCCUGAUGCAGCGACGCCGCGUGAAGGAAGAAGGAUUUCGGUUCGUAAACUUCUAUCAGCAGGGAAGAUAGUGACUGUACCUGACUAAGAAGCCCCGGCUAACUACGUGCCAGCAGCCGCGGUAAUACGUAGGGGGCAAGCGUUAUCCGGAAUUACUGGGUGUAAAGGGUGCGUAGGUGGUUCUUUAAGUCAGAUGUGAAAGCCCGAGGCUCAACUUCGGGACUGCAUUUGAAACUGGGGGACUGGAAUACAGGAGAGGUAAGUGGAAUUCCUAGUGUAGCGGUGAAAUGCGUAGAUAUUAGGAGGAACACCAGUGGCGAAGGCGACUUACUGGACUGUUAUUGACACUGAGGCACGAAAGCGUGGGGAGCGAACAGGAUUAGAUACCCCCGUAGUCC
This 424-nucleotide ribosomal RNA is filed under the name uncultured prokaryote. Its description in RNAcentral is "bacterial SSU rRNA". It matches the Rfam family "Bacterial small subunit ribosomal RNA", at positions 355 to 796 of the family's 1533-position model. The record is from RNAcentral.